Molecule: long non-coding RNA, 1129 nt
Filed under: Capra hircus (goat)
Lineage: Eukaryota; Metazoa; Chordata; Mammalia; Artiodactyla; Bovidae
Description: lncRNA (ENSCHIG00010011907.1)
Source: RNAcentral
CAGUUUUGUGGCUUUGGGUGGAUCACUUCAUCUCUAUAAAUCUGUUUAAUCCUCAAUCAAAUUAGAUAUUUACAAAAUAACACAUAUUUAUAGUGUUCAGUAUUCUAGGUACUUUAUGUCUGUUAACUUGAUUCUUACGACAACCCCAUAGUGAGAAAGAGAGGUAUGGAGAGGCUAAGUGACUUGGCCGAGACUUCCAGGCACAGGGGGCUUGGGGACGGGGAGAGCUAGGGUCUGAACCUGUACAUCUGGCUGUAGGGAGGGUCCUUGUCUCCACUGGGCCGCUGCUGUCUUGGGUACCUUAACCCCUCGUGAUCUGUUGAGUCUUAAAAGGCACUGACAUCCAUAAGUCCACAAAAUUAGCAUUUUAAGAAGACUAGUAUCUUCUUCACUCUUUGUAAGUCCAAAGCGUCUUUCCUCAGUGAACCCACAGGUCAGGGUGCCGGGGAGCGUAGGCUCUGGUCCCCCAGCCGGCGCCCCAGUGAGCUCAUCGCAGGAAAGCCUUGCAGUGGCCGCGAGGUGGCAGCAUUCAAUCAAAGAUAUGUGGCCUUGCGCUAACUGAAAAGUCAGGAUUGGCCCCUUCCUUCUUCACUUUUCUAAAACCCCAGAGUAUACCUGUUUGAUGGUGGAGUCUGGGCUUGAUCGUCUGAGGUUCCCAACAGUGAAGGAGUCACAGGAGUCCAAGCCGCAGCGUACCCGCUGGGAACUCAGAGCCUUUGGGAGAGAAAAGGAGGGAGCUGGCUCCAUUGGAGAAUGCGUCUGUGAGUCCCUGUGGAAAAGAGGACGCUGUUCUAGAUUCUGAGAACAUCCCUGCUCUUGGGCGUGGACCCCCGAAAGGAGUAGCAGAGCACAGCCCUCAAGUGUAGACUGAGCGAGCCAGGCUCGAGCGACUCCUGCUGGAGUGACGAGAUGCCCCAGGCUUGACUGGUGCAGUCCUUGCUCUAAUCUUGGAAGCAAUCAUCUCUCCAAGGAGCCCAGGUUCCUUUUGUUAGAGAUUAUUAUUACAAAGAUUGGGGUGCUAUGUAUAAACUGAAAUUUUUACAACUGUAAGACUGGAGACAUAAUAGAGUUCUUAUAGAGUUGGGCGAACAUUAAGUGAAAUAACAAUUAAAAUUUCUCCCCAUUUAGU